UUUGAGGUUCCUGAUAAAUUAGGCACAGAUCUCCUGAGCAAGUCCCUAGUUCUGUGUGACUGUUCCCACAGAUUCUGGUUUUGUGCACGUGUUCCCCAUGCACAUACCUUUUAGCAUCAGAAAAGCAAGGCUGGAAGGCACCUCAGGAGGUCAUCUAGCAGCGUCAGCCCUGACAACCAGUAAGAGUUUGUCUAUCUUGCUCUUAAAGAUUUACAAUGAUGUUAGGGUUGCCUAGCCUGGUGGGUUCUCCAGGUUUGGGGUUGUGUUUCUUGAAGAGCUCCUCCACCAGUCCUCCCAAAUAAAGCAUAGUAUUUAAGCAGCCAACAACCAAAUAAACUAAACAGCCUUUGUGCUUGGUCCUGGGCACUUGGGCUCUGGCCCCAGCACAGCAGCUUGGCCCCUUCCUGUAGCAAGCUGUUCUGCUCACAGCUUGUUUCCUCCUCCUUUGCUUGCUCUUCUGGGAGCUUUAAUCUCCUAGCAGGAUGCUCCCUGCCUAGUCAGUGCCCCACAGCUGGGCUUUCCCUGCAGGGCUGACUGUUCUCUCUUAAAGGGACAGACCACCUUGUUACAGAUGUGGGCUCUCCAUUCCACAACCUCUGAGUAGCCUGUUCCAAUGCUUAACCACCAUCGCAGUGUGAAAGUUCUUCCUAAAUUUCCGCUUAAAUUUCCUCCGCUGCAAUUUAACCCCACUGAGAUUCUAAGACUUAUCUGUGGCCACAACAGGGCAUCUCCAGCCUCUUUAUAACCACCCUUGAGGUGUUUGAAGGCUGUUAUCAAAUCCCCCCCUCCCUACCUCGUUGCAGCAGCAUAACAACGUGGCGGGGCACCUGGGGUAGUGGCAGCUUUUGUUUGCCACUGUUGCCAUGAUAAUAAUCACCUUUUUUGUGCUCCCCUGCCCCCACCAUGCCUGUCAGCACCCAGGGAUAUUGCCCCUGUCAUCUCACCCUAGUUACACCACUGCUUAGUUAUCUUUUCUCCGACUAAAUAAUCAUAGUUUUUUCAGCCUUGUAAAAUGUGUUUAUACUCUCCACUAGGCUCUCUUGAAGUGUGGAGCCCAAAACUGGCUGCAGUACUCCAGGCCUCACUGGUGCUGCAAAGGAGGGGAAGGAUAGAUUCUCUUGAUCAGUAAAUGGUACUUCUGUUAAUACAACUCAGUAUGCUGCUGGCUUUUUUUUUUUUGGCAACAAGAACAUACUGAAUAGUAACAUCUGUUUGUACCUGCAGCCACCAUAGAUGAGGGUGUUUGGGACAAGGUGGAUGCAGCCAGCACUUAGAAUAUGUCUACACACCACAGAAGUGACCGCAGUGUCGUGCAGAGACACAAAGCUAAUUUUCAAUUAGUUAUCUUGGGUGCUAGUAGUAAUCUAGCUUCGGGAGCACAGGACUCAAUAGACUUGCACACCUUGGCAAGAAUAAAAAAAAAUCUACUACCCUUUGCUCCAAUGUAGAAAGGAAUAUAUUUUAUAUCCAAUCAAGAUAAGGCCAGCAUUCCAGUCAGAGCAGCUUGCUUGACUUAAUCCAAACCCAAGGCCUUAGGAUCAUAGAAAACAAGGCUGGAAGGUACCUCAUCAUAAAAUCAAAAAAGUAGGGUCGGAGGAGACUUGAGCAGAUCAUCUAGUCUGACCCCCUGCCUGGGGCAUGAAUGAACAUAGGGCUCUUAUGACCCCUACUAAGUUUAAGCUCAAAUGACCCCAGCUAGGUAGUUAUCAAGCCUCCUUUUAAAGACCUCUAAGGUAGGCGCCAGCACCACUUCCCUUGGAAGCUGGUUCCAGAUCUUGGCUGCCCUGACUGUGAAGUAGUGCCUCCUGAUGUCUAGCCUGAGCAAGAGAUUGUCUAAUCCAAAUCCUUGCUGAAGGCAGGCCUGUCCAUAUCUAAACCAUCUCACUAAGCGUUUGCCUGACCUGCUUUUAAAAAACUUCCAGUGCUGAAGAUUCCACAGCUUUUCUGUAGCUUAUUAUAGCGCUUAACCACCUUCAUAGUUACAGAAUUCUUCAUAAACCUCCCUUGUUGCCAUUUACAACUGUUAUUGCUUAUUCUAUCCUCUGUGGCCACAGAAUAAUUGAUCACUGUUAUUUUUAAAACUUCAUAUUUGAAGAUUUUUAUCAAAUCCCCCCCUCAGUCUUCUGUUUCUUACGCUAAAUUAUCCCUUUCUUACUUUAUAUGUUGCAUGUUUUUUAGAUAUCUAUUUAUUGUUGAUGCUGUCUACUGGGCUUCUAAUUUGUUCAUGUCUUUCUUGAAGUACAGUGCCCAAAACUUGCAGUAGUCCAGGUGAAGCUGGACCAGUGCUGAAUUGAGCAGAAGAAUCACUUCCUGUGGCUUACAUAUGAUACUCCUGUUAACAGUGUACUCCCAGUAUGCUGUUAGGUUCCUGAGUUUGUAAUCUAAACUUGGAACUCCAUUUUCUGGGCCCACCUCCAAAUGUCUGAUCUCCUUCCUAAUGCUGACAUGAGAUGAAAACCUAAUAGUAAAAUGAACUGAGAAACCCUUACAGAUUUCUGAGAAGUCUGUUCCAUUUCAUAUAAAUUGGUUAUCACUAUUUAAAAAAAUUAAAAAUAGAUCUAUUUCAGGAAUUCAGUAGAAGGAGGAAAAGCAGAUUCAUAGCUUGUAAGGGGCUGGAAGGGCCAUCGUAGGAUCAUCAGUCCAGCCCCCUGCACCAAGCAGGAAAGACAACUGGGGUCAUGUGAUCCCAGCUAGGUGACCAUCCAGUCUCCUCGUUGUCUCGGACGGCCUAAGCCGACUCGAGGUGAUUUAAUAAUUACUCGUCCGUCGGGUGGGCUGGUGAAUAGAGAGGCCGAGAAAGCUUUAUGGUUGUAAAACUUUACUUACGUCGCUUGCGGUUGCAACAAAAACGGUCCGGUCAUCUGAACAACUACGUUAGCUGUUCCAGCUGGCAGGGCUCAGGCCAGCACGUCCAUCUACAAAUCAGGCCGGCAGGGAAAAGGAUACGUCUGGGAUUGCGCUCGGCGACGGGGAGAAGAAUCGAUAGGUGAUCAGUCUAUCGAUCAGCUCAGCCACGAGUCAGAUCUCUUCAGAGGCACUCUGCAGUGUGCUCAAAGUUCUCCAACUUGGGCAGAAGUCACGUGAAUUUUGAAACAGCUAGCAAGCCAAUUACUAGCCGCCACGUGUGCAUAAUUUAGAGCUGGCCAAUAGCGGGACACAAAUUUGCAUUCGAAUGGCGGGAACUCUCUUGCACCGGGGGUUUUCUGCUGCAACAGAAAACCUCUAUUUUGCAAGAGGCUCUCAUGUGGCGGGAAAAUUCCACCGUGCCGAGGCACCAAAAUCACUGGGUUGUGACACUCGUGAAGAUUUCCAGGGUAGACGAUUGCACCACCUCUGGAGGGAGUUUAUUCCAGUCUGAGCACUCGAACUGUAAAAAAGUUUUUUCUAAUGUUAAGCCUGAAACUAUCUUCCAGGAGUUUGUGGCCAUUACUCCUGGUUUUCCCUAAAGGUGCCUUGGUGAACAAUUGUUUGCCGAACCCUUGAUGUAUUCCCCUGAUGUAGUGUUAAGCUGCUACCAAGUCCCCUCUCAGCCUUCUCUUUUUUAGGCUGAAGAGACCAAAGUCCCUCAGCCUUUCCUUGUAUGGCUUGCCUUGCAAGUCUCUGAUUAUACAGGUGCCCUUCUCUAGACUCUCUCCAGCUUUUCCAUGUCCUUGUUGAAGUGUGGUGCCUGGAACCAGAUGCAGUACUCCAGCUAUGGUCUCACCAAUGCCGAGUAAAGCGGAAGAAUCACUUCCUUGGUUUUGCUUAAGAUGCAACGGUUGAUGCAUGCCAGAGUACUAUUUGCCUUGCUGGCUACAGCAUUAUACUGAUGGCUCAUAUUCAUACUAUGGUCUAUUAUGCCUAGGUCCCUUUCAGUCAUGGUGCUAGUCAGUUUGGCACCACCAAGCGUGUAUGUUAGGGAUUGUUCAUCCCCAUAUAGAGCACUUAACACUUCACACUUUACUUUAGCACUGUUCCUUUAUGCAAUAGAAAUGUAGAGCUGCUUCUUGAGUUGGAUUUCAGCUUGUGUUGUCCAUCCAUGUUUACAGAAAAGUUUACAUAUAUUUCAUUUGUAGAGGAAUACAGCCAUGAAAAGGAAAAUGUAAUCAGUUACUUAUCCAGAGACCUAGUUAGACUGGAGGUGCCAGAAUAAUACCUAAACUACAGACAUGUUUUUCUUGCUAGAUAAAUUAAUAUUCAUGUGGCAGAGAAUUCCAAUGGUUCUGUGUACGUGACAUAUUUUUGGUUUAUAAUCUAUGAACAUGUGCUGUUAAAACGGUAGGGAGUUACUAGACACAAAGCAUAGCUGAGUAUCUCUAAAAGAUACUUUAGGUAUCUGUAAGGUUGCUAAAAGGUGGCUCUGAAAGGUUGCUAAAAGGUAAGGUACUUCAAAUAAUAAAACCCGAGGGAAAAAAAACAUGCAAAAAAAAGCAUGUUGUGUGUAUAUGGCUAGAUUCUAUACAUCUACAGUACCCAGGUUACUGGAUAACAUUUUUUAAAAAGUAUUUUUAACAUGUAUUUCAUUGUAUAAGGUGUUAGCUUUGAAUAUAAAACCUAGAGCACCUCAGUCAACUUAUCAAAAGGCAGUUCAAAAGGCAUGCAAACUUAUGGCUUCAUAACCCCACAUUUCCUUCAUACAUAUAAUCAGCAUCUGGGUAAUGGAUUUCUGCUUCCCUUGGAAAAUAGUCUUGAAAUUUAUUUCAUAAAUAUCUAUUUUACAGGCAUGCCUUUGUGAUAGCCAUAUCCUCGUGCUUAGUUACAAAUGGCUGGAAGAACACUGUAUUAUUAAUUGCCCCAAGCGAAUGCUUUCAGCAUGAAUAUUCUUUUAAAUGUAGAGAGAAAAUCAAUUUUGAACUUUCAAGUUUGUAGCUUUUAUGUGCUGUUCCAUUCACGCAUGCACAAUUUAUAAGUCUUUAUGUGCUUUGCUGGGAUUCUGUAUCUUUCCCAAUUGCUCCAGUAUUGCUUGUGAAACAGGAGCAAAUACCAGCUUCUGUUAUAACAGAAAAGCUAAUUAGGAUGAUUUGUCUUCUACUGAGGUGUGAACUAAAUUCUACAGUUUCUGAUUGUCUGAAGGAUUUGAAUGCUAUAUGAAAAGGGGUAAUUAAUGGGAGAUAUUUAUCAGGACACUAACUCUGGUCCAUAUCUUAAUCACUAAGGUACUAAUCAUAUAAUCAGGGGCAUAACAGGUCAGCUUCAUACCCUGAGUGGUGACAGUUUAUCCUCCAUCCGUUUAAAGUAUUUUUUUAGUUAAGAACUACUCCUGUUUUUCUGCAUCUUGUUUCGUUAUCCCUGUAUUUCUUGGAGUUGCAGUGGAUAAUGCAAACCCCAUGUUUUAUCUUCAAAAGUACCUGCCACCUAAUGUGAUGCGUUUAAAUCAGGUAGAUAUGUAAGCUAAUACAUUAAUGCAUGUACCACUGCAUGUAUUUUCCAUAUACAGACUGAACCUCUGAACCUAGUCAGCAGAAAGGAUCUUUGAGAGUAUGAAGGUGUUGCAGGAAAAGAAUCAAUAUAUAGCUUACCAACUGCAUAACCUAUCUCCACACACACAUCUCAUCAUCUUUACAGUCUCUCUUCAAUGCUUAUUCUCUGAUGUGUAUUUCGAAUUCCAUUUAAUUUUAAAUUGGUACUCACCUCGAAAUAUAAUUUGAGCACAAUGCUGCACAACAUUUUUUCUCUUUAAAUCGUGAGUUUGUUCAAUAUUAGAGGUGGUGUAUGUUAAUUUCUGUCUAAUGCUAAGUAUGUUAUAAUAAUAGGUUGUUAAUUGGCUCUCUCCAUACAGAAUUGUAAACUAUACAUGCUUUUUCGGUGCCUUAGUUGGCCAGACUAAUCCCUGAAGUAAUACCAUUAAUUCAAAUGAAAUUACCAUAAAGAUAUAUUUUGUUCUGUAGUUUUAUUAUUUAACAGUGCAUUAAAACAAUAAUGCACUCAGGAACCCCUUGAGUACCGAAUAAUGCACCCUUUGAAUUUCAGGCUGUAGAAUUAUUAAGAGCCAUGGAUCCAAACUUGACCGUUCUGGUAUUGUUUUCAGGUUAAAUCCAAAACUAGAAGGGACCCAUUGUCCAAAUCCAUUCUAAAUGAGGUUGAUAUUUAUUCAGUGCAACCAUUCUCAUGUAAUUUCUGCCCAAAAUGAUAGAAAGCCCCUAAGUUGAGCUGAUCAUACUAUUUAUUUUCCUUUUUUUCAUUCUACUAAAGGAAACUUGCAAAAACAGCCCCUGAAAUCAUGUUGAUCUCAUUGAAUCCCAACCGCAUCCUUGAACUGAGACCUUACCCUGACCUAACCCUGAUACAAAACUGCCUCCUGGGUCUUUUUUUUCUAUUUGGACUCAACUGAAUUUAGCAGAGAAUUAAGAGUGACAAAUUGGGACAUGCGGAAGAGAGAUGCUCUUAUGACAAAAUGUAUUUAUGCAGGUUAUAUUUUUAUCAGCUUACUCUUUAGGAGUUACCAACCUAUAGAGUAGCAGAAUGGCAGCUCCAAUACAGGUAGGGUUAAGAAUCACCUCCUGUUUAAAGGCUUUUUUUGGUGUGAAAAAACCCAUGAACUUAUUGUGAUUAUGUUAAAACUAUUUUCCUCAUGGGAGUGUAGAAUAGGGGUCUAGUUGCAAAUUUGGGAUUUUUGAGCAGGGCUUACCUAAGCACAGCUCCCUCUGCCCCCUCGUUUCUCCCCAUAAGGGAACUAAAACCAAACCCUGUAAUUUCUUAUGGUUGAUUAAUUCUUACAGCAGGCUUGUCUUCACUCCCCUGCAUAUAUGGGAGUGUAAGCAGUAUUUUGUUUGUACCUCAAGUGGUCUCAUUCACUUUACCUUGAUCUAGCCCAUGGGACCUUCUGCCCCUGUGGAGGAGUAAAAAUGAAAACAGUAUUUGGGAAAGAGCUGGGCUUUCUGGAUAGGCACGUGCCUGCUGCUCUAUAGAUAACGCUAUAUCUGAGUAAACUUAGGGCCAGAUUCUAUUUCACCUAUAUGUGCCUUAAGUGGAUUUAGGCAGACAAGGUUCCUUGGGUGAAUUUGAUAUCUUUUAUUAGACGAACCCAAAUAGUUGGAGAAUAGUUAUUAAGCAAGCUUUCGGGUUCAAAAACCCUUCGUCAGGCUAAGGAAGCUUCAGCAGUUGGUGUGUGCUCUUCCUGGAUGGAAUAAAAAGUGGAUUUAGGCACCUAAAUGCAAUCCUAUUCCAACCUGCUUGGUCCUUGAAAAACUUAAUGCAAAAAUUGGGUGAUUCAGUCUUUAUGACUCAAUCUUAAAGACCAGAUGAUGGUAUGUUAUGAAAGCACAUAGUGUUUUUGUGAGCUGUUAGGUACCUGUCACAACAAACUAACAGGUUUUCAGGUGCUUGAACAUGAUAGAACAGAAUUGCAUUUAGUUGCCUAAAUCCACUGAAGUGCCCAAUAAGCAAAUAGGAUCUGACUUCUGAAACAUAGAUGAGUACAUUUUGCACUCCGUCGUAAUGCUUACUAGGUCCCACAAACUGCUGCCGGGAGUGGAAGGUGGAGGGGUUUAUAUUGAUAGUAGCGUACUGUAUUACAACCCUGUACUGCUGCACAAGAUAGACUGAGGAAGAUGUAGUGUUUGUGGAUUCAUCCAGUGGAUUCUCACCAGCAGAGGCCUAUUUUUAAAUCUUGUUUAGAACACAUGUAGAAUAAAUCCAGUUAACUGCUUUUUUUAGUGCAUUUUGACUUGUUGGGAAAAACCCUCACUCAAAACGGGAGGUUUCAGGAAAGGCCCAGUUUGCUUGGUUUAGCUGAGCUAUGGAAGAAUCAUCUUCAUGAGCACUGAAAUUCGCUAUCUUGUUUUUUGUAGAGACUUCAGGAUGAAUUGAUGUCAACAGGAUGGGUAAACUGAUCUUGAACUAAAUAAAUUUUCUACCGACUGCUAAAGUUUUUAGAAAUACUUGUUUGAAACCUGAGGGAAUGAGGCCAUAUCUCUUGGAUCAAAAGUCAAGAGUUUAAAAUUAGACUUUUGAUUGAAAGAUCAAUUGAUGUUUCAUCUAUCCUUAUCCCAUGAAUUAAGUAUUUAUUCAGUAUUAUAACAGGGAGCUAAAGGAUGGAUUUUACAUUACGGUCUCCAGUGAAUUAGAAAUGCAAUAGAAAUACAUAUGGGAAAUCGUAAAAUUAAAAGAAAAAAUACUUCAUAAAUUGGAAUGUUGGGGUUGCUAAAACUUUUGCUUCUGUGUCACAUUCAGUUUGUCCCAAGCAGUAAAAACAAAAGGCUUGAAAAUUGCUAAACAAGUUGCAGGGCAAACUAUAGGGAUGAUAAAAAUCAGUAGUUUGUAAAAUUCUUCUCCUGCAGGGAAAGAUGCUUUUUUGAUGACAUAUGAAAGCAAGCUCCUGACCAACUGUUGUCAUUAAGAAGCCCACAAUGCUUUCACAAGAACAGGAAUGUUCAUACCAGUUUCCUGGCCAAAUUCUACUCAGAGUUAAUUAUAUUAGCCCUUCCCAAAUUUUCCCUGCUACCCUCCUGAGUUUAAUUUGAUAUGUUAUUAUUUAGUUCCUCUCCUAAACUACUACUACGCAGUGAUUUUUUGGACUGUUAAACCACUGCCACCAUGUUCAGCCACAGAGAGGCUGUACUUCAUUGUUGUUCUAAAUUAUUGCUAUAUUGUACCAAUGGUUUUUAUCGUUCUUUGAGGUAAGUCUGGACUGUGUAAACACAUCGGGAAGAAGGAGGCCAUGUCUACCAGGAGUGUUUUUCUGGCAUAGGAACACCGACAUGCUAUGCCAGCAAAGCACUCCUAGCACAGUAUAGUCAUAUCAACAAGUCUGUGAUUGGAACUGUUACAGGCAACCCCUGCUUAACACUGUUUCACUUAGCACUAUUUCUCUAUAACACUCAUUUAAAAUUGAUACCUGAUUUCACUUAGCACUCAGUGAGUUUUGUUAUAACACUCACGGUCACCAUCUUGGGUCGUUAAAAACAAUUGUGGUCGCCAUCUUGGGCCAUCAAAUAGUUUCGGUUUCGCUUAACAUUCGUUUCGCUUAACGCUCAGUUUUUCAGGAACCAAUUAAGAGCGCUAAGCGGGAGUUGCCUGUAUAGUAAAACAAUGGGGAAAAAGAUGGUUUCGCUGUUACACCUACAUCUAUACAAUGAGCGUCUGCCAGUGCCACUGUGUCUGUGAAGAAUCAUACCACUUCACCAUCCUGGCAUACACAGAAGUGCCAAAAGAAUUGUGUUGCAGAGAUAUAGCCAAAGUCAGUAAGAUUCAAAUUAGAAACAGGAUGCAGAUUUUGAGCAGCAAAAUUAAUUAACUACUUGAACAGCUCACAAGUUCUCAGCUGAUGUCUUUAAAGCAAGUAUGAAUAUCUUGGUAGAAAAUGCAUUCUGUUUCAACCACCAGUUUUCAAGCAGGCAUUUCACUAAAAAUGAUCAUACUUGGUCUUAAAAGUCCAUGAAUUUAACAGAACUGGCAUACUGCUCUGCUCAGGCACCAUCAACACUGUCUAAUUUCAGACAAGAAGCUGAUGCUUAUCUUCAAGGUUCUCAAUAGCCUUUGACCUGAUUAAUUUAGAGUACCUCCCUCCCUAUCCACCAUCCAGAACACAGCAGUACUCACAGGAAAACACGUAGAUUGAAAGUACUAUCAACUUAGAUUCAGGAGCUGGAGAUGAGAUGUUGUAUCAGGUCUUAAUCAAUGGAGCAACUUGCUGAAGGAGAUCAUGUUGAGCUCUAGUCUGUGAGCUUUCAGAAUGCAGUUCCAUUUUUUAGGACACCUGCCUACAAUUAAUAGAAAUGGAAGGAAAGGAAGCAUAAAGAAGAGCAGGGGAAAUGCAGGUUUCAGUAGCUGAAAUUUAGGACAGCUAAAGCAGAGUUCAGUUCCAUGACUGUUGAGCUUACCUUAAAGUUGCAUUUGGUCCCUAGAUAAAUAUUGUGAUAUCUAAUGCCUGCUAAAGAUGGAGUAGAUACACAUGCUUGGAUUAAAUGAAUAAAUGUUACAUCGAGCACAGAAAAGAAGGGAAAUCCUUAGUAAGGGUUUGCCAGCUGGGAUACUACAACAAAAAUUUCCCAUGGCAUUGCAUAUAACCAAAUAUAUUUUCUGUUCUUCCUUUAAGUGUGUGAUUAGAAUUGGAAUAAAUAGAUACAUUCAGGAAUAUUGAUUUGUUACUAUUUGAGCUGACUCCAGCAUCUGUGCACUGCAAUUCUCUCCCCCUCCCACACAGCACUCCCACGCAGGUCAUUUCAAAUAGCUAAGUAGGGCCACAACAGUGAAAAUGCUUUGUUUCAGACCCAACAUCCUGGCAGUUGACUGCAGAGCACUGCCACCAUAUCAAGCAUCUGAAUUCCACAGUUUGUGUCAAAUGUCAGAAAAUAAAAACGUUUGCUUAGUUUUGUGUGCAUGUGAAGUAUAGUAUAUACAGAGAGUUUUAUCAAAGAUUUUUAUCUUCAUGAAUUCACCUGAAGAUGAUAACAACUUUGCUAUUUUGUAUUCCUCACUUUCUAGAGCUACAUUAAGGUCUAGCUGUGGUAAAUGGACAGAAACCUGCCUACAAGUCAGUGCUGUUUUACCACUAAAAUGGGGCUGGAAUUAUAAAGCAGGGCACUCAGCUACCACACUGAAGAGCACACCAUAAGAACCCAGUAAAAACAGAAAGCCUUAUCCCUCUCUAUGGCAGCUGGAGUUUUCUGAGAAAACAGAUAGCCUAAGUAACCUUGAGCAUCACUGGGCCUGAAGCACAUCUGCUGAAGUAUUAGCUAUAAGGCUGAAGUGUGCUCUAAAUUGAACUGGACAUAAAGAAUAUCUUAAAGAGCAUUUCCCUUGCAAGAUUAGAGAAGAAAAAUUCAAAGCUUGAGCAGAGUGGUGAGUGUCUAUCUCAUGUCUCCUUCAUCUAGUAGGAAUAUUUGUUUCCCGUUGAAGAAAUGAAAGCCAGAAAUAUAUUUUUAAGAGAGAAAACUUACAGCAAAUGACUGACAUCCAGCUUUCUGCCAAGCUCCUAUCACACAGAUUGCUUCCAGACAGACUAGUUGAUGGCUGCAUGUAGCUGCUGCAUUGUGUCUCUUUUUUCUGCCUCACAGUUAUUUUACAGCCCCUGAAUCUGAUUUCUCUUUUUAAAAAAACUCAAGUCCAUCAAGGGGUACUUAUUUUGCUAAUGUCAUCUUAGGUUGGGAAAUAUUAUUUAGAGAGAAAGCACUUUGGAAAUAUUUCAUUUGCAGCUAGAGUUUUAUGUUUUGGGAAAUUACACACUUGGGAAUAUAACUUUUAUCAUAGUGUGUGCGAUGUUUAACAUUAAUUUAUCUUGUGGUACAGAUGCAUGCUCAGUGAAAUGGUCCAUAGUCUGGCCUGCGUGUGCAUGUAAAUUCAUCCCCUUCUGUAUCUUGAUUUGCAUAUAAAAUGUAGGCUUAUUAUCCAUAAAUAAUUUGGACUUUCCAUGUCCAUAAAGACCUUAGUUUUUUCAGCGUUUGCUCAUAGUAGUGUCACUGAAAGGAGUAAGAGACACAAGAUGCAGCCCUUUGUAGAAACAAAUAAUAAUGCACAUCCUGGAGAAUCAGCCACACUAUCUGAACGGUGUAAGCUUCAAAACAGAAAUAGAUUAUAUUUAGCAUACAGAAAUGGAAAUUAGUAGAGCAUGGGCUAAAUAACAGUUUAAAAGAUGGUCCUAUGGUGUAAUUUGUUAGGCUGUAAAAUAAAUACCCAAAGGAAGGUGAUUGGCAAAACCUGAGUUGCAACAAAACACUAAUAUAAACCCAGGAGGCUCUAAUACUGUAUUAGCAGAGAAUGGAAUGGGUCACUUACUAGCUCUCGACUCUCUAGGUUCCGUAGGCUGCAGCGUAGACCCAGAACAUCUCCAAAGAACUUUAAAUAGCAUCUCUUAUGCAAGAAAGAAGCAAGUCUGACUGAAAGAGCCAAGAUAAAUUGACUUUUCACAUUUUCUGAAAGAUUCAGUUACUGAGAUUGUUAUCUACUCAAAGGAAAUUACCCAUUUAUCUCCAUUUUAAGUGAAAAUAUUCUUCUAGUCUAACAGUAACUUAUUCCAUUAGUCCUUUCAAGUUCUCAUUGACCUAUCACAUUAGCACUAUAAUAUGCUUUACUGCUAGAAUAAUUAAUAAACAGAAAAUACUUUCUUGCAUGAAAACAAAACUAUGUACCAGGUUAUGUGUUCCUUUUUAAGUGAUCUGCUAUACCAAGUAAAUCAAUAAUUUGUUUUCCUUUCACUGACUUGCUGGGCUUCCAGAGGCAGGAAUAUUCUGUUAUUUGUUCUGAUGGAGGCAUCUUUUUCCGCACCUCUACCUUAGAUCUCAGACCUCUCUAACCUGGUUCCCCUGUGUGUAUGUAGGAUGAAUGUUUGCACUGUAACUCAGAAAGGACUAAAGUUGUUUCUGCCCCAGGAUUUAUUGCUAAAAAGAAGUAGUCAUUCAUUUUUAUUUGAUUUAAGAAGCAGACCAGAUUCUUAUGGAUCUCCCAUAAAAUUUAAAAAUUCUGGAGCUGGGACUCAAAAUAUCACCAACAAAUAAAAAACAUACCCGUUCAUAUUUUAUUUUUAAAUAACAACAUUUGAGUUUUUAAGCUUUCAUUGCUUUCUUGUUACUGAGCUUUUAGGGUGAGCUUGGGUCACGUUUUGACUGGAACUCUCAGGAUCAGAAUUUUUUUUUAAAUGAGAGAUGAAAUUCUUGGAUAAUUACAUGACUACAGAAGCUAGCCCUAUAAGGAAAGGCCCAAAUAUUGAUAGAUUUGUAAUAGAAUCAAACAUGAUGGCCACACUUGGUUUUUUUUCUCCCUGCAAACCUGACAGAAUUUUUUUUUCACUUCUGCUACCACUGAGUCUCAAUAGCAUGCAUUCAUCUAUGUUACCUGUGAAAUCAAUAUUUGCUAACAAGUCCUAUAUACACAUUUCUGAAGUCUGAAGAAGGGGCAUUCUUAGUGCAAGAUCCUUGACUCUGGACUACAGCUUGGGUGCAAAUAUAUUCUCUAAUAGUUGUUCAGCAUAACAAAAGGCCAACUCUGACUGUUUGUGUAAAAUUGUUUAUAAAUAUUAAUAAAAGACUGAAUUCAUCCGAACAAAAAGACCCACUAGUACAACCCCAAAGACUGUGUUAAGAUCAGGUCUACCUAUCCCCUACAUUUUUGCCUCCAAUCGAUGGAUGAAAAUGGGUUUGCUGGAAUUUGGAAUGAAUUAGUGGCCAAAACGAUGAAAAGAUGAGCUAUUCCACCCAUCAUGUCUUUCUGGGGUCCUUAGUUUCACAAGCAAAAAUUUGAUACUGAUGCUAAAAUGAUGCCUAGACUGAUAGGCUGUCACUGCUACUGUUUCCUGGGCUCCUGAUAUCUACCAUUACUCUGUUGGGUUUUCAUCAUCCUUAUCCUGAGAGAUGUCAUAACUGAGACCAGUAAGAGGAAUCAGAUGAUGUGAUCACCUCUACUGAAAACUGGUACAAAUUAGCCAAAUCUUGGAGUGAAUAAUAAGACUAUUUGAGUGCCUGAUUGCCUUUCUUUUUCCAGCAGCAAUAAGAGAAAUGGGAGCUUCAUUUUUUAAAAAUCUUUGCUGUUCUUUUGUCUAUCUUUUGUGUGUGCCUUGUCACGCUUUCCACUUAGGGUGCGUCUUAGGUAGAUUGUAGUAAGCAUUACUACAAGUUAAUUUUUCUCUGGGCAGUUGCACAGUAAUGUUUACCACAAUCUAAGUAAAAUGUAUCCCAAGCACCAGAGCCUUUGAAGUCUAUGGUGUGCUGCAGGGGCUGGGAAUGUCAAUUGUCAGUUCCAGUCUGUUCCCCCACCCAGCUGUGCAAGACUGCAGUGUGGUGGGAGGGCAGACACCCAUACUGGAGUCAUGAACUGGUUUCAGUGCAUGACUGAGGCUAGGUCCAACAAACAUCUCUUUGCCAGCCCCAGCUUUGGCACUGCACCAGUGUCUCCUAAUCUUAUUUCCUCCAUGCAGCAGUCGAACAUUAGCUUGAUGUGUUAGGCUAUAUGAUGCGUUAGGCAAGAUGCUCCUCUUUGUAUUCAAAACUCCAAACUUUUCUGUUGUUUUUGCAUAGUAGCAGUGCUAUCAGCUUUGACUUUUUUGGCCUGUUUAUAAACAUGAUACAGCUUAGACAAUCUUGGCAGAGCCAGAUUUUUGCCAAUCUUUUAGGGCCAGGAUUAUGGCAAGUUUCUGCCUGAGGAGUGGCUGACUGUGGACUACAGCUAUAGUCUACAGUUAGCUUCAUGUGUAUGGUGGAAGCUAAUAUUUUGUAACUAAAUUAAAUUUUAAUUUUAAUUUUUCAAAUUUCUAAAUAUUGUAUAUUGUAUAGAUAUAUCUAUAUCCAGUCUCUCCCAGGCCCAGCUGAGGACCAGGACAUCUCUUACAGCCCUGUCAAGGUUGCUCUGAAGUAUAAUGGGGAUUAGACUACUUCUAGGAUAAGGAAGCAAAACAAUGGCCUUUCAUGAUCCAGGGCUGUAUCUAGGUCUAUACCUAAGAACAUGCUUCAGGUGGUAUACAUAAAUCCCUGUAACUGCUUUUUCACUUGGCAAAAAAUAAAGCUGUGUAUGUUUCUAUUCCUGUUUACCAUUACUUGUAAUAAGCAGAGCUUAGAGAGGGAGGUUAUGCAAGGAAAAAACAUCACUACAAACUGGAACUGUGAAAUUAAGUGCGUGUUUAGUUUCUGGUUUGAUUUUUAUUUCCCUGGGAGAGAAGAAUGUUUCAGAGAUUGAAGGAACCUGUAGUGUGAGAAGAACAGGAAAGCUCCUGCCAAAACAAAAUGGAAAGAUAAACAGGAAAAAAAGGAGUUAGUGAUGGAGGAAAAAGUUGCAAAAAAACCUUCAUCCAUAUGUUUCAGUCCUCCACACUUGAGAUCAGGUUAUGCCAGCCUCCUAUUAAACCUAGCAGCGCGUUGCUUUCCUUCACUAUGGCUAAUGAAGUUGUUGAAUAUUUUCCCUUUUCUAUAUUUUGUGCUUGAUUAAGUGUGCGUUUUGAGAAUGAUACCAUAAGUAAAUGAAAAAAGCACUUUGCUCACUGUGCACAGAAAUCUGCAGUUACUUUCCACAGGAUGCAACACAACACCUGAAAACAAAGCAAUCAACUGCUACCAGGCAAAUAGAAAAAGAAAAUGUUACUCAUAAUCUAAGAGAGGCACCAGUGAGGAUCUAUUCAGCCUUAAUGGAAAGUCAGAUAAGCAGGUCUGUAGAAGUUAUGAUACCUGGCCUGAAUUUUGCUGGUCCAACUGAAUGAGCCAGUGGCAACCAACAUAUUAAAUGAAACUAUCUCACUGUCAUCUCUGUCCUUCCCUAGCAGCUGUCUGGAGGGCAAGCUUCAGGUGGUGGCAUGGAGGGUACUCUUGGCAAUGCUCUGUCUAAGGUUACAGUACUUUGCUGGAAAUGUGACAGGCUCUUCAGCUAAAGAGGAUUUAGAACCUGGUCUUUCACUCACUGGGCAAAUGCCUAACUACUAGCAUACUGGGUUGAAACAUGGGAUGAGUUCUUCCUUUUCCUCUGCUAUGUUGUGAUUUACACAGACUUAUAUACCUUCUUGGAGAGUAUGUAUCUGCAUAAGUAGACAAAAUGCCACUUACACAGCUAACUUAGCUAAGUAAAGGCUACUUACCCAGCUACAAAUGAAGUUGGACUUGGGCACGAAUGUAGUACUUUGUGCAUCUUAGAAGCAGCUGUAUGCUGUACUAGCCAGAGGCUCGUGAAAUUUAUAAUGUUUUAAUGGCUAUGCUCUGUGACCUUUGGCAAAGUAUUUGAAUAAUUUUUCCAUUCGGGCAAAUGUAAAAACAGCUACAACACUGGAAUAAUACACAGGAAUUGUAUACAGUUGGAGUUAUUACAGAUUUAUAAAAAAUGACAUGAAUUCUUAUAACUUUUCAUUUGUGCUAUCAAUAUAAUAUUUAUAUAUGUAAAUAUGACAUUCAUUAAUAUUUGAAUAAGCUGGCUAGAAACACUGGCUUACUGGUUGGUGACUAUAUAUACAUAUAAAAACACACUUAUAUACACAUACAGGCACAUACCAGCUAGAACUGCCUUCAGCUCUAUAAUAUAAGAAAAUAAAAAAUAAAGCAUG
Alligator mississippiensis (American alligator) is the source of this 15931-nucleotide long non-coding RNA. RefSeq lists it as uncharacterized. The transcript is spliced from 2 exons. The record is from RefSeq and is a predicted model, not a curated record. NCBI's taxonomy places the organism in Eukaryota, Metazoa, Chordata, Crocodylia, Alligatoridae.